This 253-nucleotide ribosomal RNA is filed under the name uncultured bacterium. RNAcentral describes it as "partial 16S ribosomal RNA". It matches the Rfam family "Bacterial small subunit ribosomal RNA", at positions 524 to 776 of the family's 1533-position model. The record is from RNAcentral.
UACGUAGGUGGCAAGCGUUGUCCGGAUUUACUGGGCUUAAAGAGCGCGCAGGCGGCCAAGUCAGUCGAAUGUGAAAGCCCCCGGCUCAACUGGGGAGGGCCAUUCGAUACUGCUCGGCUCGAAGACAGGAGAGGGAAGUGGAAUUCCCGGUGUAGUGGUGAAAUGCGUAGAUAUCGGGAGGAACACCAGUGGCGAAGGCGACUUUCUGGCCUGUUCUUGACGCUGAGGCGCGAAAGCUAGGGGAGCAAACGGG